This is a non-coding RNA of Pelobates cultripes (western spadefoot toad), 235 nucleotides long. Lineage: Eukaryota; Metazoa; Chordata; Amphibia; Anura; Pelobatidae. The record is from the annotation of a GenBank genome assembly.
GUGCAGAAUUAUUAGGCAAGUUGUAUUUUUGAGGAUUAAUUUUAUUAUUGAACAACCAUGUUCUCAAUGAACCCAAAAAACUCAUUAAUAUCAAAGCUGAAUAUUUUUGGAAGUAGUUUUUAGUUUUAGCUAUGUUAGGGGGAUAUCUGUGUGUGCAGGUGACUAUUACUGUGCAUAAUUAUUAGGCAACUUAACAAAAAACAAAUAUAUACCCAUUUCAAUUAUUUAUUAUUAC